AACAUCCCCGCGGGAGAGACCGGGUCCGGACUUGUCCGGUUCCGGCGCCGAAGGCGCAACCGCCCCGGAAACGCUCAGGCAAACGGACCGCGUGGGAACU
Molecule: non-coding RNA, 100 nt
Filed under: Allobosea sp. Root381
Lineage: Bacteria; Pseudomonadati; Pseudomonadota; Alphaproteobacteria; Hyphomicrobiales; Alloboseaceae
Also listed under: 1 other name
Description: Bosea sp. Root381 Glycine riboswitch aptamer
Rfam family: Glycine riboswitch aptamer
About the family: This family represents the bacterial glycine riboswitch.
Source: Rfam by way of RNAcentral